ACGGAGGCAGCAGUGGGGGAUAUUGCACAAUGGGGGAAACCCUGAUGCAGCGACGCCGCGUGAGUGAUGAAGUAUUUCGGUAUGUAAAGCUCUAUCAGCAGGGAAGAAAAUGACGGUACCUGACUAAGAAGCACCGGCUAAAUACGUGCCAGCAGCCGCGGUAAUACGUAUGGUGCAAGCGUUAUCCGGAUUUACUGGGUGUAAAGGGAGCGUAGACGGAUGGCUAAGUCUGAUGUGAAAGGUGAGGGCUCAACCCUUAAACUGCAUUGGAAACUGGUCAUCUAGAGUGUCGGAGAGGUAAGUGGAAUUCCUAGUGUAGCGGUGAAAUGCGUAGAUAUUAGGAGGAACACCAGUGGCGAAGGCGGCUUACUGGACGAUAACUGACGUUGAGGCUCGAAAGCGUGGGGAGCAAACAGGAUUAGAUACCCUGGUA
RNAcentral lists this ribosomal RNA (433 nucleotides) under uncultured Lachnospiraceae bacterium. RNAcentral describes it as "partial 16S ribosomal RNA". It matches the Rfam family "Bacterial small subunit ribosomal RNA", at positions 341 to 792 of the family's 1533-position model. The record is from RNAcentral. Lineage: Bacteria; Bacillati; Bacillota; Clostridia; Lachnospirales; Lachnospiraceae.